Molecule: ribosomal RNA, 253 nt
Filed under: uncultured bacterium
Lineage: Bacteria
Description: partial 16S ribosomal RNA
Rfam family: Bacterial small subunit ribosomal RNA
Source: RNAcentral
UACGUAGGGUGCAAGCGUUGUCCGGAAUUAUUGGGCGUAAAGAGCUCGUAGGCGGUUUGUCGCGUCUGCUGUGAAAACUCGGGGCUUAACCCCGGGCCUGCAGUGGGUACGGGCAGACUAGAGUGCGGUAGGGGAGACUGGAAUUCCUGGUGUAGCGGUGAAAUGCGCAGAUAUCAGGAGGAACACCGGUGGCGAAGGCGGGUCUCUGGGCAUUAACUGACGCUGAGGAGCGAAAGCAUGGGGAGCGAACAGG